This 945-nucleotide ribosomal RNA is filed under the name Haptophyta environmental samples. Its description in RNAcentral is "SSU rRNA". It matches the Rfam family "Eukaryotic small subunit ribosomal RNA", at positions 424 to 1375 of the family's 1831-position model. Lineage: Eukaryota; Haptophyta. The record is from RNAcentral.
GGCAGCAGGCGCGUAAAUUGCCCGAAUCCUGACACAGGGAGGUAGUGACAAGAAAUAACAAUACAGGGCUACUUCUAGUCUUGUAAUUGGAAUGAGUACAACUUACAUCUCUUCACGAGGAUCAAUUGGAGGGCAAGUCUGGUGCCAGCAGCCGCGGUAAUUCCUGCUCCAAUAGCGUAUAUUAAAGUUGUUGCAGUUAAAAAGCUCGUAGUCGGAUUUCGGGUCGGGCCGAGCGGUCUGCCGAUGGGUAUGCACUGUUUGGCGCGGCCUUCUUUCCGGAGACCGCGGCUACUCUUAACUGAGCGGGCGUGGGAGACGGAUCGUUUACUUUGAAAAAAUCAGAGUGUUUCUAGCAGGCAGCUCGCUCUUGCAUAGGUUAGCAUGGGAUAAUUUAAUAGGACUCUGGUGCUAUUUUGUUGGUUUCGAACACCGGAGUAAUGAUUAAAAGGGGCAGUCAGGGGCACUCGUAUUCCGUCGAGAGAGGUGAAAUUCUCAGACCAAUGGAAGACGAACCACUGCGAAAGCAUUUGCCAGGGAUGUUUUCACUGAUCAAGAACGAAAGUUAGGGGAUCGAAGACGAUCAGAUACCGUCGUAGUCUUAACCAUAAACCAUGCCGACUAGGGAUUGGAGGGUGUUCGUUUCGACCUCUUCAGCACCUUACGGGAAACUAAAGUCUUUGGGUUCCGGGGGGAGUAUGGUCGCAAGGCUGAAACUUAAAGGAAUUGACGGAAGGGCACCACCAGGAGUGGAGCCUGCGGCUUAAUUUGACUCAACACGGGGAAACUUACCAGGUCCAGACAUUGUUAGGAUUGACAGAUUGAGAGCUCUUUCUUGAUUCGAUGGGUGGUGGUGCAUGGCCGUUCUUAGUUGGUGGAGUGAUUUGUCUGGUUAAUUCCGUUAACGAACGAGACCGUAGCUGCUAAAUAGUUCCGCGAACUUCUUGU